GAAUAAGCUACAAAGGGCACAGGGUGGAUGCCUUGGCGCCAAGGGCCGAAGAAGGACGCGGUAGACUGCGUAAAGUCACGGGGAGCCGUCUGCAGGCGCAAUAUCCGUGAAUUUCCGAAUGGGGAAACCCACUGGAGCGAACCUCCAGUAUCUCCUGACUGAAUCUAUAGGUUUGGAGAAGGGCACCGGGAGAACCGAAACAUCCAAGUAACCCGAGGAACAGAAAACAUUCCGCCAGUAGUGGCGAGCGAACGCGGAGCAGCCCAAACCCACUGGUUUACCGGUGGGGGUUGUAGGACUCGACCGCCGCAAGGCCGCAAGGGAAAAAGUCGUUUUGGACUCGAACAGGUCUGGAAGGUCUGACCGCAGAGGGUGAGAGUCCCGUAGAGCAACAAAACGAACUUGCGUCGAGCACCUGAGUAGGACGGGGCACGCUAAUCCUGUCCGAAGCGGGGAGGACCACCUCCCAAGGCUAAAUACCGUUGGCGACCGAUAGUGAACGAGUACCGUGAGGGAAAGGUGAAAAGCACCCCGACGAGGGGAGUGAAAUAGUACCUGAAACCGUGUGCCUACGAGCAGUCCGAGGACGAUGCCAGAUUUCAGAUUUCAGAUUUUAGAUUGCAGAUUAAAAAAAAUCUGCCUUUUGAAAUUUGAAAUCUGAAAUCUGGAGGGUCUGAGGGCGUGCCUCUUGAAGAAUGACCCAGCGAGUUACUUUGUGUGGCGAGGCUAAGGGAGUGACACCCGGAGCCGCAGCGAAAGCGAGUCCGAACAGGGCGUGGCAAUCCGCAAGGAUUGCAAGUCGCGUGGAGUAGACCCGAAACCCGGUGAGCUACCCAUGGGCAGGCUGAAGUGACGGUAACACGUCAUGGAGGGCCGCACGCACAAAUGUUGCAAAAUUUGGCGAUGACCUGUGGGUAGGUGGUGAAAUGCCUAACGAACCGGGAGAUAGCUGGUUCUCCUCGAAAUAGCUCUAGGGCUAGCCUCACUCCGAGUUCGCAAGGACUCGCCGAACUAACGCAGGUAGAGCACUGGCAUGGCUCGGGCGCGUAGAGCGUACCAACCCAUUUCAAACUGCGAAUGGCGUUAGGGGGAGUGGGAGUCGCACCGUGGGGGAUGAGCUUCAUGGUGGAAAGGGAAACAGCCCAGACCGUCGGUUAAGGUCCUCGAGUUCACGCUAAGUGGGAAACGAUGUGAGCGUACUGAGACAGCCAGGAGGUUGGCUUAGAAGCAGCCAUCCUUGAAAGAGUGCGUAAUAGCUCACUGGUCAAGUGCGCUUGUGCGGAAAAUAUAACGGGGCUGAAGCGUGACACCGAAACCACGGAGUCAGUGGGGUAGUGCAAUAGUUGGAUAGUGCGAUAGUGGGCGUUGGCGACAAUCUCACUAACGGACUAUGUAACUAUUGCACUAUCGCACGACUGGUAGAGGAGCGUUGUCAACCUGGGAAGCCGGACGGUGACGACCGGUGGAGGGACGACAAGUGCGAAUGCUGGGAUGAGUAGCGAGAGCAGAGUGAAAAUCUCUGCCGCCGUAAGUCUGAGGGUUCCGCCGCAAGGGUCAUCCGCGGCGGGUUAGUCGGGCCUAAGCCGAGGGCGAAAGCCGUAGGUGAUGGACAAUCGGUCAACAUUCCGAUACCAUAGAUGAGGACAGAGGGAGAGACGCAGCCGGAUAGCCGAGCCUGCCCACUGGACAUGGCAGGUGCGAAGCGUCAACCUGACGAGACCUGUAGGCAAAUCCGCAGGUGGAGGGGAGACGUAAGCGGCGCCGUCAAGGCCACAAGUCGGUGAGUUCAUGCUGACGAGAAAAACUUCUAACGGAUGAAUCAUCUAUGCCCGUACCGCAAACCGACACAGGUGGACGGCAAGAGUAUUGCCAGGCGAUCGGGAGAACCUCCGUUAAGGAACUAGGCAAAAUGCACCCGUAACUUCGGGAGAAGGGUGGAUGCUGGUCGUGAGAGGAAACUUGGAGCGACUGGGAUUCGCAGCGAAGUGGCUCUACUGACUGUUUAACAAAAACACAGGUCUCUGCCAAAGCGCAAGCUGACGUAUAGGGGCUGACACCUGCCCAGUGCCGGAAGGUUAAGAGGAGAGGUCAAGGCGGUGGCAACAUCGCUGGACGCUUUGAAUCGAAGCCCCGGUGAACGGCGGCCGUAACUAUAACGGUCCUAAGGUAGCGAAAUUCCUUGUCGGGUAAGUUCCGACCCGCACGAAAGGUGUAACAAGUGGAGCGCUGUCUCAACGGGGGACCCGGCGAAAUUGAAUUCGUGGUGAAGAUGCCAUGUACCCGCAGUAGGACAAAAAGACCCCGUGGAGCUUUACUCUAACUUGGCACUGGAUGGGGGACGGUUGUGCGUAGGAUAGGUGGGAGCCGGAGAAACUGGGCUUGCGGGCUCGGUGGAGGCAGCGUUGAAAUACCACCCUCAAGCGUUUUCGAUUCUAAUCCCAAGCCGUAAGCCGGCUGGGAGACCAUGCCAGGCGGGGAGUUUGACUGGGGCGGUCGCCUCCUAAAAGGUAACGGAGGCGUCCAAAGGUUCCCUCAGGUUGAAUGGAAACCAACCGCAGAGUGUAAAGGCACAAGGGAGCUUGACUGCGAGAGUUACAACUCGAGCAGAGACGAAAGUCGGGCUUAGUGAUCUCACGGUAUGCGUGUGGAAGUGCCGUGACUUAUCGGACAAAAGCUACCCCGGGGAUAACAGGCUGGUGAAGCCCAAGCGUUCACAGCGACGGCUUCGCUCGGCACCUCGAUGUCGGCUCGUCGCAUCCUGGGGCUGGAAUCGGUCCCAAGGGUUGGGCUGUUCGCCCAUUAAAGCGGCACGCGAGCUGGGUUCAGAACGUCGUGAGACAGUUCGGUCUCUAUCCACUGUGGGCGUAGGAACUUUGCGAGGGGCUGGCCCUAGUACGAGAGGACCGGGCUGGACCGACCGCUGGUGUGCCAGUUGUCUUGCCAAAGGCAUUGCUGGGUAGCCAAGUCGGGCAGUGAUAACCGCUGAAAGCAUCUAAGUGGGAAGCACGCCUCCAGAUAAGAGUUCCGAUCUCUUCGUGAGAAGAGAGUAAGUGCGGUUGGAGACGACAACCUACAUAGGGUGGGCGUGUAAAAUGUGUGAGCAUUGAGCGAACCACUCCUAAUGCACGAGCGCUUGUUCUCG
RNAcentral lists this ribosomal RNA (3142 nucleotides) under Chloroflexota bacterium. RNAcentral's name for it is "Chloroflexi bacterium (groundwater metagenome) 23S ribosomal RNA". It matches the Rfam family "Bacterial large subunit ribosomal RNA". Lineage: Bacteria; Bacillati; Chloroflexota. The record is from RNAcentral.